Long non-coding RNA from Humulus lupulus (European hop), 337 nucleotides. RefSeq lists it as uncharacterized. NCBI's taxonomy places the organism in Eukaryota, Viridiplantae, Streptophyta, Magnoliopsida, Rosales, Cannabaceae. The record is from RefSeq and is a predicted model, not a curated record. The transcript is spliced from 3 exons.
UCCUUAUGUUUGGUGUGUUAUUUCUAGAUUACUGGCGAUUCAAUUUAUAAUCUUACGAGGUUAGGAGACGUUGAAACUGAUAAGAAUGAUCAUCCAUUGGAUCCACCCCUAAAGAUAUUAUCAGUUGAGGUAUUGUGGAAUCCAUUUGAUGAUAUUGUACCAAGAGAACGUGUAAAAUCUAAGGAACUUUCAACAAGUGACACCGACAAUAAAGAUACGAAGAAAAAAGCUGUUAAAAAGUUGAAUUUACUUUCAUUUGGAGAAGAAGCUGAAGAAGAGGAGAAUGAAUUUGCAGCUGUAAAGAAAAAAAUCAAGAGCAGUCAUGAUGUACUUGAUA